CCUGGUGGCUCAGAUGGUAAAGCAUCUGCCUGCAAUGUGGGAGACCCGGGUUCGAUUCCUGGGUCAGGA
RNAcentral lists this transfer RNA (69 nucleotides) under Ovis aries (sheep). It matches the Rfam family "tRNA". From Rfam's summary of the family: Transfer RNA (tRNA) molecules are approximately 80 nucleotides in length. Their secondary structure includes four short double-helical elements and three loops (D, anti-codon, and T loops). The record is from Rfam by way of RNAcentral. Lineage: Eukaryota; Metazoa; Chordata; Mammalia; Artiodactyla; Bovidae.